UAACACGUAGGGAACCUGCCCAUGCGGCCGGGACAACUUCCGGAAACGGAUGCUGAUACCGGAUAAGGAAAGCGAAGGCAUCUUUGCUUUGUUAAAGGAGCUGCAAGGCUCCGCGCAUGGAUGGACCUGCGGUGCAUUAGCUGGUUGGUGGGGUAAAGGCUCACCAAGGCGACGAUGCAUAGCCGGCCUGAGAGGGCGAACGGCCACACUGGGACUGAGACACGGCCCAGACUCCUACGGAAGGCAGCAG
This 250-nucleotide ribosomal RNA is filed under the name uncultured bacterium. Its description in RNAcentral is "partial 16S ribosomal RNA". It matches the Rfam family "Bacterial small subunit ribosomal RNA", at positions 111 to 354 of the family's 1533-position model. The record is from RNAcentral.